GCCAGUGUCCUGCAACUUUCAGAUGUGUCCCUUGUCCUACACACUUGAUUUAAAUGGUGAAAGUGUCUCACUAGCAUGCAGUCAACUCUAAAGAGCCUUGCUAAUGAGCUCAUAUUGGAGUCAGGUGUGCUGAAGCACAGAACUGGAAGACUGGAGUUUGAAACCACUGAUCUAAAGGCAGAUUAUGAGACACAAGGCUCUGCUAAAGUCUGACUAGCCCUAUCAUUCGUAAGGAUUUGCUCAGUUGAUGCCACUCAAAUGACUCAACCAGUGAUGCCUCCUCCUGGUCAGUCAGUGAUCUAACAUCCCAUUAGUGGCUCCAUUUGGCAUGCCUUGAACCACAGCUGAGUACAGUAUUUGAAUUGAGAAAAGGAAGCCAAGGGUUACUAAAGCAAGAAUGCAGCUGAGAAAAUCUGCAGACUUCAGACAGAAUAAACUUCUGCUUC
Xiphophorus couchianus (Monterrey platyfish) is the source of this 446-nucleotide long non-coding RNA. RefSeq lists it as uncharacterized. NCBI's taxonomy places the organism in Eukaryota, Metazoa, Chordata, Actinopteri, Cyprinodontiformes, Poeciliidae. The transcript is spliced from 3 exons. The record is from RefSeq and is a predicted model, not a curated record.